GUAAACACGAUGAAGAGGAUAAGUAGAUAGAGAAUUUGUAGCAGAGAGGAAAACGUAAGCUGAGAGUUUUCUUACAAUGUAUUUAUUGAAUUCACCUUGGAGUGCGACUAAUCAUCGCCGUCAACACAACGUUACUGUGAAUCAAGUGCAUAACAGAAUUUGUUAUGAAUUAGGAUGGUACCGCGAUUAUAAUCGUUCCUAGC
This 203-nucleotide non-coding RNA is filed under the name Coprobacillus sp. RNAcentral describes it as "T-box sequence". It matches the Rfam family "T-box leader". From Rfam's summary of the family: Uncharged tRNA acts as the effector for transcription antitermination of genes in the T-box leader family. T-boxes are found upstream of many aminoacyl-tRNA synthetase genes and some amino acid biosynthetic genes usually in Gram-positive bacteria. The anticodon of a specific tRNA base pairs to a specifier sequence within the T-box motif, and the NCCA acceptor tail of the tRNA base pairs to a conserved bulge in the T-box antiterminator hairpin. Lineage: Bacteria; Bacillati; Bacillota; Erysipelotrichia; Erysipelotrichales; Coprobacillaceae. The record is from RNAcentral.